This 69-nucleotide transfer RNA is filed under the name Loxodonta africana (African savanna elephant). It matches the Rfam family "tRNA". Rfam says of the family: Transfer RNA (tRNA) molecules are approximately 80 nucleotides in length. Lineage: Eukaryota; Metazoa; Chordata; Mammalia; Proboscidea; Elephantidae. The record is from Rfam by way of RNAcentral.
CUGGGUGAUGCAAAGGGUUAAUGCACUUGGCUGCUAACCAAAUGGCUAGAGGUUCAAGGCCCACCCAGA